UAGGGACGCGACCUACAUGGUGUAACCAA
Molecule: non-coding RNA, 29 nt
Filed under: Homo sapiens (human)
Lineage: Eukaryota; Metazoa; Chordata; Mammalia; Primates; Hominidae
Source: RNAcentral